RNAcentral lists this ribosomal RNA (301 nucleotides) under uncultured bacterium. RNAcentral describes it as "partial 16S ribosomal RNA". It matches the Rfam family "Bacterial small subunit ribosomal RNA", at positions 509 to 809 of the family's 1533-position model. The record is from RNAcentral.
CAGCAGCCGCGGGAAUACGGAGGGUGCAAGCGUUAUCCGGAUUCACUGGGUUUAAAGGGUGCGUAGGCGGAUCUGUAAGUCCGUGGUGAAAUCUCCAGGCUUAACCUGGAAACUGCCAUGGAUACUAUAGAUCUUGAAUGUUGUGGAGGUUAGCGGAAUAUGUCAUGUAGCGGUGAAAUGCAUAGAUAUGACAUAGAACACCAAUUGCGAAGGCAGCUGGCUACACAAAUAUUGACGCUGAGGCACGAAAGCGUGGGGAUCAAACAGGAUUAGAUACCCGGGUAGUCCCUGUCUCUUAUAU